Molecule: long non-coding RNA, 3535 nt
Organism: Pongo pygmaeus (Bornean orangutan)
Lineage: Eukaryota; Metazoa; Chordata; Mammalia; Primates; Hominidae
Exons: 3
Source: RefSeq, a predicted model, not a curated record
AGUGAACACUUUGUCAAGGGCCAGCGUUGGUUUCUCAUCUGGACUACUGUCUGCAAACUGCUGACUUACAAAAUGGUAACAGCCUCCUAACAAUGGGUGAAUCUACAGGAUGUCAAACAGCAACUCUCAGGUGAACCACUCAGUCAGUGGAUCUGGUGUUAACCAUACAAUGCCAAACAUCUGGUGAUCUGAAGACAUCCGGGGCUUUUCUAUCAUGUAGCCCAAACAUGAUUCAGGUGCAAAAAAGGGCCUGGAAGACUGUGUAUGGAAAAAUGGGGCAGCAGUGUGAGAGUAUUCUGAAACAAUGUGAAGACAGAAAUAGCAGCGCCGACAGAGUUGCAGGUUUUAUGAUACCACAAAGAGAUCAUCUUCCUUCUCCUCACCACAAGAACAGAUGGGUAGCAAGGGUGGUGGCUCCAUGACUCACUACCUCCUCACGCCCGCAAAGACUGUCUAAGCAGCAGGCAAACUUCUGGGAUCAAUAGGGUUCACAGCAAUGCGGUGUCUGCCAGCAAACCUUGGAGGAGGCCAUUAGUCAAUUGGUGACCUGCCACCCUGACCACUGCAGCCCUCUGAUGCAGAUUCUCAGAAAGGUUAGCUGGUGCUGGGAAACUUAAAAGGUCAUGGGUAUCUUGGAGUCAAAACUCCACAGAACCAGAAUGAAGAGUACUGCAGAGGAGCUGCAGGUAAGGGCCACAUUGGAGGCCAAAGUCACCACCUGCUAGCUGUGUGACCAAGAAAAGCUAAGCAGAAGAGCUGCGAUGCGUCACAUGCAAUAGAGAAGGCCAACCACUGGGAAUGGCUGCCUUUCAAGAACACUGAAAUAAAUGACCUCUAAAUGGAUGACAAUAAUGGCAUGAGGUCAGAUGUCCAACUGAGAUCCAGAAGCAAGUCCCAAGUCAAUAACUUUCAAAAAACAAGGAAAAAUAAAUCCAAAACUGAAUUGUGAAUUUUAAUGUGAUUAAGGCACAUGGAGCUUUGCAAGGUAUCAUACUGUUCACUUAUUCUUCUCCUAGAAUUUCAGAGGAGCCGAGAUGGCUCCAAUUACUGGACAGCCACAUCUUCAGCCCUCUUCUCCCUGUGCUUUUUCAAAGACAGAGAGGGAGGAAGGAACCUCUGAGGCAGCACUUACCUUCUGUCAUCUUGAGUAAUCUCAAGUCAGCACUGAGGAGGGGGAUGUCAGACAACUCUCAAUUAAAAUCUAGAUCUAUAAUUUACUAAUAUUUUGACAUUGGGCAGGUAAUUUGAUGAGAAAACCCAAAACUGCUCAACUGUUUCUCAAAUUCACUGGCUUUAAGUUAUGUUUUUCAUCUGGGGCCCUAGGGCCUUUUUAUCAGUGGCCUUCAUGAAUGUGAGGCCCAGAAUGAAACAUGUGACUUCAGGCAUCACUGGACUAGGACUGGGACUCUUGUUCAACUUAGUCUGAGAACUGCAGCUGUAUCAGCGUUGCCCAGGCCAGGAGAUUGCAGCUUCAUGGACAGAUGUGCAGGAUCUGGAGCAGACCUGUCUCUGGCUCCAUUACUUACUGUGUGACCUUGAGCAAAUUACUUAACCUCUCCUUUCCUUAAUUUCCUCAUCAGUAAAAUGAAUAUAGUAGUACCUGUCUAGACUGGUUAAAGGCAUUAAACAAGUUAAUAUCUAUAAAGCAUCCAGAGAAGACUGAUUAAUUUUGGAUAGUCAUGAGUGCUAAGAAUAAGAUACAACAGGGAAACAGAAUACUGCUGGAGUAGAAGAAGAGAGUGUUUGGGUGGUAAGGGAAAGCUCUUCUCUGAUGACAUUGAAGCUGAGAUCUGAACAAAGAGAAAGAGGUAGACCAUGCGAAUAUUUUGAGAAGGGCCAUGCCAGACAGAAGGCAGAGUUAAUGCAAAAGCUAUAUACACUGGAAAUGUCUGAGGGACAAAAAGAAGGUCAUUGUGGUUGGAUGGUGACUACGUGGGGGCAUGAUAAGCAAUAAAAGUCAGAUAGAGAUCAUGCAAGACUUUGUUGAACAUGGCAAGGAGUUAUUUUUUUUCCCAGCUGCAAUGGGAAGCCACUGGAGGAAUUUAAGCAGGAGAGUAACAUGAUCUGCUUUACAUUUUUAAAAUAUCACUCUGGCUGCUGUGUGGAGAAUGGAUUAUCAGAGGGAAGGACAGAAACAGGGAGACCAUUUAAGAGGCUAGCACACAAAUCCAGCAAGAAAUAAAACUACUUUGAACUACGACACUAAUAGUGAAGAGGGGCAGGAAUGCCUCAUUCAGGGUCCACUUUGGAGCAAAGCAGAAAGUACUUGUUGAUGGAUUAAAUGUAAGGUGUAAGAGGAAGAAGAGAAGCAUCAAGAAUGACUUCUAGGUUUGGGUCCUGAGUGACAGGGAGAAUUGUGACACCUUCCACUGAGAUGGAAAAGACCAAAGCUCAUCAAUCCUGGCUUCCUCAAGUGUAAAACUGAAAUCAAAACCUAUUUUACAAGUUUGGUGGAAGAAAAAAACACGAUAGUGCAUGAAAAGAAAUACUCUUCUAAGUUGUAAAGCACUGUAGGAACAUUAGCCAUUAUUAAUUAACUAGUUAAUUGUUACCAACAUAUCCUGUAUUUUUUUUAUUUGCCUGUGGAUAUGCACCCCUCUCUUCACGGAAAAAAGCUAAAGACUGCCAGUCAUGUGGACCUGACGAAUUCAGGAAAACCCUUAAUUCCAAUUAAGAUGACUCUCCAGGAAGGUUUGUGAUUAUGAAAUGUGAUUACAAUUUAGAAGCAGAAAUCUAAUUAAUUUUAUUGUAUCUUGGUUGGAAAAAGGUUGUGUGAAUCCAAGGAAGAAGCUCAGGAAAAAAAAAAAAAUUCCAAAUCUAGAAGUUGGCAAUAAUUACUUGGGAUUAUUCAAGGGGUUAUUUUCUCUGGCAGAUAAUCUAUCACCUAGAAAGAAAUCUGAAUUCAGAGGAAUGGACAAUCAUUAUAGUAGUAAGAACUAUCAUUUUCUGAGGAUUUACUGUAUGCUAGGAGCUUUACCUGCAUUAUUACCUUUCAUCCUCAUGAUAUACUUACUAAUCUUCAUAAUAUACUAAUUGAGGCUGAGAAAGAUCAAGUAACUCACCCAAAGUUACAUAUGGCAGAAAUUUCAUUACGGAUGACAGUCAGAAUUGAAGUCAAGUCCAUCUGACCCUGGUGACCAAUCUCUUAACUAUUAACAUAGGCAACUGUUAACAUAUUACUUAUUUAUUCUAGUUUAUCUACAUCAGUCACUUAAGGGCUUGAUCAGUGUGUUCCUAGAUCCAAAUGUCUCUGACUUGGGCAAAGUCCAGUUCCUACAUUUGCAUGACUGAAGAUUGGACAAUGGAUUGGGUGAAUUUACCUAUGUAAAUCGUUCCCUCCUUGACAUUCUUCUAGUGGUUAGCCUCAUUCAAAUGUCAGUAUCCAGACUGGCUAAAUGUCCUCACAUUGCCAAAAAACUCAAACAGGAGAAGUGGCAGGGAGGAGUAGAACUACCACAGGACUAAGGGUCAGAAGACCUGGUUUCUGGUCUCAUUUCUGUCAUUAAAAUGCUGCAGGACCAAGGAAAUUCACCUC